This 468-nucleotide ribosomal RNA is filed under the name uncultured bacterium. RNAcentral describes it as "partial 16S ribosomal RNA". It matches the Rfam family "Bacterial small subunit ribosomal RNA", at positions 28 to 507 of the family's 1533-position model. The record is from RNAcentral.
GACGAACGCUGGCGGCGUGCUUAACACAUGCAAGUCGAACGGAAAGGCCCUGCUUUUGUGGGGUGCUCGAGUGGCGAACGGGUGAGUAACACGUGAGUAACCUGCCCUUGACUUUGGGAUAACUUCAGGAAACUGGGGCUACUACCGGAUAGGAGCUCCUGCUGCAUGGUGGGGGUUGGAAAGUUUCGGCGGUUGGGGAUGGACUCGCGGCUUAUCAGCUUGUUGGUGGGGUAGUGGCUUACCAAGGCUUUGACGGGUAGCCGGCCUGAGAGGGUGACCGGCGACAUUGGGACUGAGAUACGGCCCAGACUGCAACGGGAGGCAGCAGGGGGGAAUAUUGCACAAUGGGCGGAAGCCGGAUGAAGAAACGCCGCGUGCGGGAUGACGGCCUUCGGGUUGUAAACAGCAGUCGCCUGUGACGAAGCGGGAGUGACGGUAAUGAGUAAAGAAGCACCGGCUAACUACGUG